Molecule: ribosomal RNA, 468 nt
Filed under: uncultured bacterium
Lineage: Bacteria
Description: partial 16S ribosomal RNA
Rfam family: Bacterial small subunit ribosomal RNA
Source: RNAcentral
GACGAACGCUGGCGGCGUGCUUAACACAUGCAAGUCGAACGGAAAGGCCCUGCUUUUGUGGGGUGCUCGAGUGGCGAACGGGUGAGUAACACGUGAGUAACCUGCCCUCGACUUUGGGAUAACUUCAGGAAACUGGGGCUAAUACCGGAUAGGAGCUCCUGCUGCAUGGUGGGGGUUGGAAAGUUUCGGCGGUUGGGGAUGGACUCGCGGCUUAUCAGCUUGUUGGUGGGGUAGUGGCUUACCAAGGCUUUGACGGGUAGCCGGCCUGAGAGGGUGACUGGCCACAUUGGGACUGAGAUACGGCCCAGACUCCUACGGGAGGCAGCAGUGGGGAAUAUUGCACAAUGGGCGGAAGCCUGAUGCAGCAACGCCGCGUGCGGGAUGACGGCCUUCGGGUUGUAAACCGCUUUCGCCUGUGACGAAGCGUGAGUGACGGUAAUGGGUAAAGAAGCACCGGCUAACUACGUG